This 456-nucleotide ribosomal RNA is filed under the name uncultured bacterium. Its description in RNAcentral is "bacterial SSU rRNA". It matches the Rfam family "Bacterial small subunit ribosomal RNA", at positions 329 to 803 of the family's 1533-position model. The record is from RNAcentral.
GAGAUAACUCCUACGGGAGGCAGCAGUGGGGAAUAUUGGACAAUGGGCGCAAGCCUGAUCCUGCAAUGCCGCGUGGGUGAAGAGGGUCUUCGGAUCGUAAAGCCCUUUCGGCGGGGACGAUGAUGACGGUACCCGCAGAAGAAGCCCCGGCUAACUUCGUGCCAGCAGCCGCGGUAAUACGAAGGGGGCUAGCGUUACUCGGAAUUACUGGGCGUAAAGGGCGCGUAGGCGGCGUUCCAAGUCAGGCGUGAAAGCCCUGGGCUCAACCUGGGGACUGCGCUUGAUACUGGAGUGCUUGAGGAUGGAAGAGGGUUGUGGAAUUCCCAGUGUAGAGGUGAAAUUCGUAGAUAUUGGGAAGAACACCGGUGGCGAAGGCGGCAGCCUGGUCCAUUUCUGACGCUGAGGCGCGAUAGCGUGGGGAGCAAACAGGAUUAGAAACCCGGGUAGUCCUCCACU